This 73-nucleotide transfer RNA is filed under the name Vermileo comstocki. RNAcentral's name for it is "tRNA-Val". It matches the Rfam family "tRNA". From Rfam's summary of the family: Transfer RNA (tRNA) molecules are approximately 80 nucleotides in length. Their secondary structure includes four short double-helical elements and three loops (D, anti-codon, and T loops). Lineage: Eukaryota; Metazoa; Arthropoda; Insecta; Diptera; Vermileonidae. The record is from RNAcentral.
CAAUUUAAAGCUUAUUUAGUAAAGCAUUUCAUUUACAUUGGAAAGAUUUUCUGUGCAAUUCAGAUUAAAUUGA